Hyaena hyaena (striped hyena) is the source of this 68-nucleotide small nucleolar RNA. RefSeq annotates it as small nucleolar RNA SNORD42. Lineage: Eukaryota; Metazoa; Chordata; Mammalia; Carnivora; Hyaenidae. The transcript has a single exon. The record is from RefSeq and is a predicted model, not a curated record.
GUGCAUAUGAUGGAAAAACUUUUAACCUUCUGAGACUUGUGAUGUUCUCAAAGGAACCGCUGAUGCAC